GGUGAACGCUAGCUACAGGCUUAACACAUGCAAGUCGAGGGGUAACGAGAGGAAAGCUUGCUUUCCUUGUCGACGACCGGCGCACGGGUGAGUAACACGUAUCCAACCUGCCCCCAACUAAGGAAUAACCUUGCGAAAGUAAGACUAAUACCUUAUAAUUUCCUCAGAUGACAUCUGACGAGGAAUAAAGAUUUAUCGGUUGUGGAUGGGGAUGCGUCUGAUUAGCUUGUUGGCGGGGUAACGGCCCACCAAGGCAACGAUCAGUAGGGGUUCUGAGAGGAAGGUCACCCACAUUGGAACUGAGACACGGGCCAAACUCCGACGGGAGGCAGCAGUGAGGAAUAUUGGUCAAUGGGCGGAAGCUUGAACCAGCCAAGUAGCGUGCAGGAUGACGGCCCUAUGGGUUGUAAACUGCUUUUAUACAGGAAUAAAGUUAGCCACGUGUGGUUAUUUGUAGGUACUGUAUGAAUAAGGACCGGCUAAUUCCGUGCCAGCCGCCGCCGUAA
This 506-nucleotide ribosomal RNA is filed under the name uncultured bacterium. Its description in RNAcentral is "partial 16S ribosomal RNA". It matches the Rfam family "Bacterial small subunit ribosomal RNA", at positions 28 to 523 of the family's 1533-position model. The record is from RNAcentral.